AUGGAAAAGCAUCAAUAUGUGACGAGUCGGGAGUGAGAAUGUGUUAAAAUAAGACAAAGAACAAUUAUUUCAGAUGAAAUACAGGCAACUGUCAUAGAUCAUGUUUUAGUCCACAGAUUGACAAUGAGGGAAGCGGGACUUCGAGUUCAGCCCAAUCUAGGUCGAUUCACUGUGUCCACCAUAGUCCGAAGUUUCAGAGAGGCGAACAGAAUUGCAAGACUGCCACUUCAUGGGGUGAGGACAUCUAUGUUGUCUCCACACCAAGAGAUCCUCAUUGUUGACAUGGUCCAUCAGAACAAUGCAAUCARACUAUGUGAAAUACAGCAGAAAAUCAUUGCAGACCAAGUGAGUUUUGAAGGCAUCGACAGUGUAAGCCUUUUCACCAUUGAUCAAGUCCUAAAAUGCAACAGUAUGUGGAUGAAGCAACUGUACAGAGUACCCUUUGAUCGUUACUCAGAGAGGGUUAAAGAGCAAAGAUUCCAGUAUACACAGAUUGUUUUUCAGUUGGACACAAUUUCAGUUUCAUUAGAACAACCCCAUGAAUAUAUUUAUAUGGAUGAAGCUGGGUUCAAUCUGACCAAAAGGAGGAGGAGAGGCUGGAAUGAUUGGCCAGCGAGCAAUUGUUGCAGUACCUGGCCAAUGGGGUGGGAAUGUAACAUUAUGUGCUGCCAUCAGCAACAAUGGGGUUAUCCACCAUCAUGCCACAUUGGGGCCAUACAAAACUCAACAUCUCCUGACAUUUCUUGGUGAUCUUAGAGAUAAUGUUUUAGGUCAUCAGCAGAAGGAUCAUGAGCAGCCAGGGCAUCCUGUCUAUGUCAUUGAAUGGGACAAUGUGAGUUUUCAUCGUGCCAUCCAGGUCAGAGAGUGGUUCAAUAUCAACCAAGAAUUCAUGAACGUUUUCCUUUCACCAUACUCCCCUUUCCUCAACCCAGCAGAGGAGUUCUUCUCUUCACAGCGUUGGAAGGUUUACGAUCGGCAACCUACACCAGGGAAAAUCUCUUGCAGACCAUGGAAUUGGCCUGUAAUGACAUACAGUAGGUGUGGAUGUGUGUCAAGCGUGGAUCCACCAUACUAGUAGUUUUUUCCCACACUGCCUGGCCAGGGACAAUYUCGCCUGUGAUGUAGAUGAAGUUCUGUGGCCUGACCCAGCAUGUCGCCAUGAUGCUGUAGAGUAGAUGCUGUCUGCACAUUUUUUGUAUCAUAUACUGUGUUUUUCUUUUGUACUGUAAAAUGCUAAUUAGGAAUUUUGUUCUUAAAAUAUAUUUUCCUUUGUGGAAAAUAAAGAUUCUUUCAAAAGCUUCAUGAUCUUAUUGUUGUGUUUUUGUUUAUUUUCCCUGUUGUGUGACUGCUCAGUGGUGUUUGUUCUUUUGAUUUCUUCGAGGUCUGAUUUGACAACAUUGUUUGGUUUUGAGCACAGUUUAAACUAUUUUGAGGCUGGAGUUUGGAUUUGCUGGAGGAGUCAGAGGUUCUGUGAAAGCAGUUUGAAAAUUAGGUUUUGUGUUUACAGUUUAGAGAAAUUGAUGGAUGGUUCCAAGAAAUGUGUUUUAGCAAAUGAGAAAAACAGAAAAAUA
Long non-coding RNA from Austrofundulus limnaeus, 1571 nucleotides. RefSeq lists it as uncharacterized. The transcript is spliced from 3 exons. Lineage: Eukaryota; Metazoa; Chordata; Actinopteri; Cyprinodontiformes; Rivulidae. The record is from RefSeq and is a predicted model, not a curated record.